UACGUAGGUGGCAAGCGUUAUCCGGAUUCACUGGGCGUAAAGAGCGCGUAGGUGGUCCUUCAAGUCAGAUGUGAAAUCUCCCGGCUUAACUGGGAGCUGUCAUCUGAUACUGCUGGACUUGAGGAUGGUAGAGGGAGGUGGAAUUCCCGGUGUAGUGGUGAAAUGCGUAGAUAUCGGGAGGAACACCAGUGGCGAAAGCGGCCUCCUAGGCCACACCUGACACUGAGGCGCGAAAGCGUGGGGAG
This 245-nucleotide ribosomal RNA is filed under the name uncultured bacterium. RNAcentral describes it as "partial 16S ribosomal RNA". It matches the Rfam family "Bacterial small subunit ribosomal RNA", at positions 524 to 768 of the family's 1533-position model. The record is from RNAcentral.